This 614-nucleotide ribosomal RNA is filed under the name Heterorhabditis zealandica. RNAcentral's name for it is "LSU rRNA". It matches the Rfam family "Eukaryotic large subunit ribosomal RNA", at positions 358 to 956 of the family's 3401-position model. Lineage: Eukaryota; Metazoa; Nematoda; Chromadorea; Rhabditida; Heterorhabditidae. The record is from RNAcentral.
GGAAAGUUGCAAAGAACUUUGAAGAGAGAGUUCAAGAGAACGUGAAAUCGCUGAAGUGGAACCGGAGAGAGUUAACUUAACUUGGUAGCUAUAUUCUCUAGGGUCGCUUAACUGUGGCUCUGGGGGGUGGACGCUACCUGUUGUUGCACUGACUGCGUUGAUCGUGCUUUCCGAACAGUGUAGUGUUGCCCACUUUGUGGUGUCUUGCUCGCUGGGAGGUUUGUCAUGGUUAACGUAUAGCCUUAGUCCCGAGGGAGUCAGUGUGAAAGUUAACCACCUUUCCGACCCGUCUUGAAACACGGACCGAGGAGUGUUGGUUAUACGCGAGUCAAGGAGUGGUGAAAACUCUAGGGGCGGAAUGAAAGUAAAGACUAGUUAACUAGUUGACAUGGGAUCCGCUCUUCGGAGCGGCGCACCAUGGCCCUGUCUUGUCUGCUUGCAGAUGGGCAGCGGUAGAGCGUAUAGCUUGCGACCCGAAAGAUGGUGAACUAUGCUUGAGCAGGACGAAGCCAGAGGAAACUCUGGUGGAAGUCCGUAUCGGUUCUGACGUGCAAAUCGAUCGAUAGACUUGAGUAUAGGGGCGAAAGACUAAUCGAACUAUCUAGUAGCUGGUU